UGGGGAAUUUUUCACAAUGGGGGAAACCCUGAUGCAGCGACGCCGCGUGAUUUAGAAGGCCUUCGGGUUGUAAAAAUCUUUUUUACGGGAUGAAAAUGACAGUACCGUAAGAAUAAGGUCCGGCUAAAUACGUGCCAGCAGCCGCGGUAAUACGUAUGGACCGAGCGUUGUCCGGAAUCAUUGGGCGUAAAGGGUACGUAGGCGGCCUAGUAAGUUAGAAGUGAAAUAAUAUAGCUCAACUAUAUAAAGCUUUUAAAACUGCUAGGCUUGAGAGAUGGAAGGGAAAGUGGAAUUCCUAGUGUAGCGGUGAAAUGCGCAGAUAUUAGGAAGAAUACCGGUGGCGAAGGCGACUUUCUGGUCAUCAUCUGACGCUGAGGUACGAAAGCGUGGGUAGCAAACAGG
RNAcentral lists this ribosomal RNA (402 nucleotides) under bacterium. RNAcentral describes it as "partial 16S ribosomal RNA". It matches the Rfam family "Bacterial small subunit ribosomal RNA", at positions 355 to 776 of the family's 1533-position model. The record is from RNAcentral.